GACGAACGCUGGCGGCGUGCCUAACACAUGCAAGUCGAACGGGGUGAAGCCCUUCGGGACUUCACUUAGUGGCGAACGGGUGAGUAACGCGUGAGAAACCUGCCUUUCAGUGGGGGACAACAGUUGGAAACGACUGCUAAUACCGCAUAACAUAACGGGAUCGCAUGUUUCUGUUAUCAAAGAUUUAUUGCUCAAGGAUGGGCUCGCGGCCGAUUAGGUAGUUGGUGAGGUAACGGCUCACCAAGCCGACGAUCGGUAGCCGGACUGAGAGGUUGAACGGCCACAUUGGGACUGAGACACGGCCCAGACUCCUACGGGAGGCAGCAGUGGGGAAUAUUGCACAAUGGGGGAAACCCUGAUGCAGCGACGCCGCGUGAAGGAUGAAGGUCUUCGGAUCGUAAACUUUUGUCUUCAGGGACGAUAAUGACGGUACCUGAGGAGGAAGCCACGGCUAACUACGUG
This 462-nucleotide ribosomal RNA is filed under the name uncultured bacterium. RNAcentral describes it as "bacterial SSU rRNA". It matches the Rfam family "Bacterial small subunit ribosomal RNA", at positions 28 to 507 of the family's 1533-position model. The record is from RNAcentral.